Struthio camelus australis is the source of this 250-nucleotide long non-coding RNA. RefSeq lists it as uncharacterized. NCBI's taxonomy places the organism in Eukaryota, Metazoa, Chordata, Aves, Struthioniformes, Struthionidae. The record is from RefSeq and is a predicted model, not a curated record.
GGGAGAGCUGCCCCGUGCCGCCAGAGCAAACGUGGCAAGGCAUACUCGCCAUGCUGGAUUCGUGACAGCUCCUGCAUCGCUUCUGUGAAACCCGCCUUCAACUCAGAGGCUAAUGCCUGCAACUAGAGGAACCACAAACACGAGGCCCUAGCCCUGCCGGAAAAGCUCACAACCUAAGCUGGAGGCAGCCGGUUGACAGCCGGGCGAAGCAGGAGGCAGACCGGGCUGAGCCAGGCUCGCAGAGUGAGCA